CUGAUGUUGUAGAUGUGAUAGAAGAAGUGAAUCUACCUAAUCUCUGUUUGCAAAAUGCAGUAUACAAGCUUGAGGACUUGAACCGUUCAUCCACCACCGACACACCGCAGCAUCGUGGGCCCAAAUCUGACAUACCCAAAGCCAACCGCAAAGGGGAAGUUGACAAGGAGAAGGGGAAGCCAGCUGCCAACUCUAAAUCUAGCUCCAGGCAGGAAACGAGCCUUGACCUGACUAAGGCGAACUGGACUCUGCGUGUGGUCAGUGACAAGAGAAAAACAGAGAGCAUUGAGGUGACGAAGGACACGGAGAGAAUGGACCAGAUUAAAGCCAUUAAAAAAGCCUGGGAAAUGGCUGAACCAGGCCGCUGUGCUAAGGCUUUAGAGUCUCGUCUCAAGUUUCUCAACCAACUCCAACAUCAAGCAGGCGAUGAAACAACCACAGAUGGCGCAGAGAACAGAGAGCCAGGUACCAUACUCCUCAUACACACACUUGCAUAUUUAUUGUAUCUGGGCAGUUUCUGUUUCCACUACUUGAGACAUUUUCUGAUUGGUUCAUUGACAGCUGCUUCCAGAUCUGAUCCUGGCACCGCUCUCAGUCCAUUUAAUCCACAGCUGACCGAUGCCUCAUGCUCCCAUUCUCCCAUGGACUACACUCCCUUCAUCAGACGCCAAAUGGAUUUUCCAGUGCUGAUGGACUCUCAGAUAGAGGAGAUCCGGCUGAGGGAGCGCCUAGAAAAGAUCCAGACUUACCGGUUGGUCCGAGACAAUGUGCUGGAGCAUCAGAAACAGCAGGAGCUCAACAGGAAGGAGCUAAUGAGACACCAGCUGGAGAUGUAUGAGAACAUUCAGGUCAGUUGAGACAGAGAGCGGACUGUGUGAUAUGUCUAAAGGUGAAGAUGUAGA
This 902-nucleotide long non-coding RNA is filed under the name Sander lucioperca (pikeperch). RNAcentral describes it as "lncRNA (ENSSLUG00000023175.1)". The record is from RNAcentral. Lineage: Eukaryota; Metazoa; Chordata; Actinopteri; Perciformes; Percidae.